GUCCCUGUAGCGCAAUGAAUAGCGCGUUGGACUUCUAAUCCAAAGGUCGUAGGUUCGAAUCCCACCUGGGAUU
This 73-nucleotide transfer RNA is filed under the name Trichonephila inaurata madagascariensis. It matches the Rfam family "tRNA". From Rfam's summary of the family: Transfer RNA (tRNA) molecules are approximately 80 nucleotides in length. The record is from Rfam by way of RNAcentral. Lineage: Eukaryota; Metazoa; Arthropoda; Arachnida; Araneae; Nephilidae.